RNAcentral lists this ribosomal RNA (675 nucleotides) under Sporosarcina sp. PN1. Its description in RNAcentral is "bacterial SSU rRNA". It matches the Rfam family "Bacterial small subunit ribosomal RNA", at positions 49 to 707 of the family's 1533-position model. The record is from RNAcentral. Lineage: Bacteria; Bacillati; Bacillota; Bacilli; Caryophanales; Caryophanaceae.
CUAUACAUGCAGUCGAGCGAAUCAAUAGGAGCUUGCUCCUUGAGAUUAGCGGCGGMCGGGUGAGUAACACGUGGGCAACCUGCCCUGCAGAUGGGGAUAACUCCGGGAAACCGGGGCUAAUACCGAAUAAUCAGUUCCUUCGCAUGAAGGAACUCUGAAAGACGGUUUCGGCUGUCACUGCAGGAUGGGCCCGCGGCGCAUUAGCUAGUUGGUGGGGUAAUGGCCUACCAAGGCAACGAUGCGUAGCCGACCUGAGAGGGUGAUCGGCCACACUGGGACUGAGACACGGCCCAGACUCCUACGGGAGGCAGCAGUAGGGAAUCUUCCACAAUGGACGAAAGUCUGAUGGAGCAAUGCCGCGUGAGUGAAGAAGGUUUUCGGAUCGUAAAGCUCUGUUGCGAGGGAAGAACACGUACGGGAGUAACUGCCCGUACCUUGACGGUACCUCGUCAGAAAGCCACGGCUAACUACGUGCCAGCAGCCGCGGUAAUACGUAGGUGGCAAGCGUUGUCCGGAAUUAUUGGGCGUAAAGCGCGCGCAGGCGGUCCUUUAAGUCUGAUGUGAAAGCCCACGGCUCAACCGUGGAGGGUCAUUGGAAAACUGGGGGACUUGAGUACAGAAGAGGAAAGCGGAAUUCCACGUGUAGCGGUGAAAUGCGUAGAGAUGUGGAGGAAC